RNAcentral lists this ribosomal RNA (658 nucleotides) under uncultured fungus. Its description in RNAcentral is "eukaryotic LSU rRNA". It matches the Rfam family "Eukaryotic large subunit ribosomal RNA", at positions 24 to 664 of the family's 3401-position model. Lineage: Eukaryota; Fungi. The record is from RNAcentral.
CCCGCUGAACUUAAGCAUAUCAAUAAGCGGAGGAAAAGAAACUAACAAGGAUUCCCCUAGUAACUGCGAGUGAAGCGGGAAAAGCUCAAAUUUAAAAUCUGGUGGUCUUUGGCCAUCCGAGUUGUAAUUUAGAGAAGCGUCUUCCGCGCUGGACCGUGCACAAGUCUCCUGGAAUGGAGCGUCACAGAGGGUGAGAAUCCCGUCUUUGGCAUGGACACACCAGGGCUUUUGUGAUGCGCUCUCGAAGAGUCGAGUUGUUUGGGAAUGCAGCUCAAAAUGGGUGGUGAACUCCAUCUAAAGCUAAAUAUUGGCGAGAGACCGAUAGCGAACAAGUACCGUGAGGGAAAGAUGAAAAGCACUUUGGAAAGAGAGUUAAACAGUACGUGAAAUUGCUGAAAGGGAAACGCUUGAAGUCAGUCGCGUUGGCCAGGGAUCAGCCUUGCUUUUGCAUGGUGUACUUUCUGGUUGACGGGUCAGCAUCAAUUUUGACCGCUGGAAAAGGGCCUGGGGAAUGUGGCAGCUUCGGCUGUGUUAUAGCCCCUGGUCACAUACGGCGGUUGGGAUUGAGGAACUCAGCACGCCGCAAGGCCGGGUUUCGACCACGUUCGUGCUUAGGAUGCUGGCAUAAUGGCUUUAAGCGACCCGUCUUGAAACACGG